Molecule: microRNA, 19 nt
Filed under: Oreochromis niloticus (Nile tilapia)
Lineage: Eukaryota; Metazoa; Chordata; Actinopteri; Cichliformes; Cichlidae
Description: oni-miR-10955
Source: miRBase by way of RNAcentral
AUCCCCGUAUGGGCCACCA